Molecule: non-coding RNA, 347 nt
Organism: Pelobates cultripes (western spadefoot toad)
Lineage: Eukaryota; Metazoa; Chordata; Amphibia; Anura; Pelobatidae
Source: the annotation of a GenBank genome assembly
GGGUAGAGGGUUGGGACGGCAAAUCAGUCGGGAGGGGAGGAGGCAACGAGGUAGAGGGGACCGGGAUAUCGGGAGGGGGUACCACUGGAGAAGGGGUUGGAGGGGUGGGAACGGGGGCUGGGUCAGGGCAGUAAGGGCAGAGAUUAGGGACGGCAAAUAUGUUAAAAGAAAAAGAAAAAAAAUUUCAAACACAAGAAAUACAAAUGCACCUAACCAACACAGUGGUAGGAAUGUGCACGGGUACUUAACUUGGUAUGAGAUGAAUGCAGCUUCCCAAGAGGUUUCCCCCAAACGAACCUCAAAUGCAGAUAUGUAAAUGGACAAAAUAGGGAUACAGCUGAAUGACU